GCAGUAAUGCAUGGAGCUGACCAAUACUAAUCGGUCGAGGGCUUAUCCUAA
This 51-nucleotide ribosomal RNA is filed under the name Paenibacillus sp. F4. RNAcentral describes it as "partial 23S ribosomal RNA". Lineage: Bacteria; Bacillati; Bacillota; Bacilli; Caryophanales; Paenibacillaceae. The record is from RNAcentral.